This 206-nucleotide ribosomal RNA is filed under the name uncultured bacterium. RNAcentral's name for it is "partial 16S ribosomal RNA". It matches the Rfam family "Bacterial small subunit ribosomal RNA", at positions 568 to 774 of the family's 1533-position model. The record is from RNAcentral.
CUCGUAGGUGGCCAACUAAGCAGACGUGAAAUCCCUCGGCUUAACCGGGGAACUGCGUCUGAUACUGGAUGGCUUGAGUUUGGGAGAGGGACGCGGAAUUCCAGGUGUAGCGGUGAAAUGCGUAGAUAUCUGGAGGAACACCGGUGGCGAAGGCGGCGUCCUGGACCAACACUGACACUGAUGAGCGAAAGCCAGGGGAGCAAACG